UACGUAGGGGGCAAGCGUUAUCCGGAAUUACUGGGUGUAAAGGGAGCGUAGACGGCGGUGCAAGCCAGAUGUGAAAUCCCGGGGCUUAACCCCGGAACUGCUUUCAAAACUGCUGGUCUUGAGUGAUGGAGAGGCAGGCGGAAUUCCGUGUGUAGCGGUGAAAUGCGUAGAUAUACGGAGGAACACCAGUGGCGAAGGCGGCCUGCUGGACAUUAACUGACGCUGAGGAGCGAAAGCGUGGGGAGCAAACAGG
RNAcentral lists this ribosomal RNA (253 nucleotides) under uncultured Oscillospiraceae bacterium. RNAcentral's name for it is "partial 16S ribosomal RNA". It matches the Rfam family "Bacterial small subunit ribosomal RNA", at positions 524 to 776 of the family's 1533-position model. The record is from RNAcentral. Lineage: Bacteria; Bacillati; Bacillota; Clostridia; Eubacteriales; Oscillospiraceae.